RNAcentral lists this ribosomal RNA (433 nucleotides) under uncultured bacterium. RNAcentral describes it as "partial 16S ribosomal RNA". It matches the Rfam family "Bacterial small subunit ribosomal RNA", at positions 29 to 507 of the family's 1533-position model. The record is from RNAcentral.
AGCGAACGCUGGCGGCAGGCUUAACACAUGCAAGUCGAGCGGACCUUUCGGGGUCAGCGGCGGACGGGUGAGUAACGCGUGGGAACGUGCCUUCCGGUUCGGAAUAACCCUGGGAAACUAGGGCUAAUACCGGAUACGCCCUUAUGGGGAAAGGUUUACUGCCGGAAGAUCGGCCCGCGUCUGAUUAGCUAGUUGGUGGGGUAACGGCCUACCAAGGCGACGAUCAGUAGCUGGUCUGAGAGGAUGAUCAGCCACACUGGGACUGCGACACGGCCCAGACUCCUACGGGAGGCAGCAGUGGGGAAUAUUGGACAAUGGGAGCAAGCCUGAUCCAGCCAUGCCGCGUGAGUGAUGAAGGCCUUAGGGUUGUAAAGCUCUUUUAUCCGGGACGAUAAUGACGGUACCGGAGGAAUAAGCCCCGGCUAACUUCGUG